GAAAUGCGAUAAGUAAUGUGAAUUGCAGAAUUCCGUGAAUCAUCGAAUCUUUGAACGCACAUUGCGCCCCCUGGCAUUCCGGGGGGCAUGCCUGUCCGAGCGUCAUUUCUGCCCUCAAGCACGGCUUGUGUGUUGGGUGUGGUCCCCCCGGGGACCUGCCCGAAAGGCAGCGGCGACGUCCGUCUGGUCCUCGAGCGUAUGGGGCUCUGUCACUCGCUCGGGAAGGACCUGCGGGGGUUGGUCACCACCAUGUUUUACCACGGUUGACCUCGGAUCAGGUAGGAGUUACCCGCUGAACUUAA
This 302-nucleotide unclassified non-coding RNA is filed under the name soil metagenome. RNAcentral's name for it is "partial contains 5.8S ribosomal RNA, internal transcribed spacer 2, and large subunit ribosomal RNA". The stretch from base 1 to 105 matches the Rfam family "5.8S ribosomal RNA", at positions 50 to 154 of the family's 154-position model. The record is from RNAcentral. RNAcentral also lists the same sequence under 3 other names.